This 424-nucleotide ribosomal RNA is filed under the name uncultured Actinomycetes bacterium. RNAcentral describes it as "bacterial SSU rRNA". It matches the Rfam family "Bacterial small subunit ribosomal RNA", at positions 608 to 1029 of the family's 1533-position model. Lineage: Bacteria; Bacillati; Actinomycetota; Actinomycetes. The record is from RNAcentral.
CUUAACCUCGGAAUUGCAGUCGAUACUGCUGUGACUCGAGUCCGGUAGAGGAGAAUGGAAUUCUCGGUGUAGCGGUGAAAUGCGCAGAUAUCGAGAGGAACACCAGUAGCGAAGGCGGUUCUCUGGGCCGGCACUGACGCUGAGGAGCGAAAGCGUGGGGAGCAAACAGGAUUAGAUACCCUGGUAGUCCACGCCGUAAACGUUGGAUACUAGGUGUGGCGGUUGUACCAACGACUGCCGUGCCGAAGCUAACGCAUUAAGUAUCCCGCCUGGGGAGUACGGCCGCAAGGCUAAAACUCAAAGGAAUUGACGGGUCCCCGCACAAGCGGCGGAGCAUGCGGCUUAAUUCGAUGCAACCCGAAGAACCUUACCUGGGUUUGACAUCACGGGAAAAACUGUAGGAAUACAGUGUCCGUAAGGGCCC